CUUUUGCGCUGACGGAAGGUUUUCCUCGUUUGGUUUUUGUAGUAAAUCUUACUGCUGCUCAGUGUUUGCGUCUGUGCUGCGUUUGUGAGCUGCAACGCUCACGGUAAAGGUCUACAGCUUCACUCCUGAAGCCAGCGAGACUGUAAAUCCACUGGGAGGGGCAGAGAACUCUGGACAUGCUGCAUUUUAAGGAGCUGUGACACUCACCGCGGAGGUUUGCAGUUUCACUCCUGAAAUCAGUGAGACCACGAACGCACCAGAAGGAACAAACUCCAGACACACCGUUUUUAGGAACCGUAACAUGUACCGCGAGGGUCUGCGGCUUCAUUCCUGAAGACGAGACUAAGAACCCACCAACUUUUGGACACAAAACCACCCCAAAAUACUUUAUGUUCUAUUCCGUUGGUCUGCCUAUCUAAAAAGCAAAAUUUCAAAUACUGACACCGAUAGAUGAAGAUGCUUUCGCUUCUUCCCUGUUUCAUCCAGUUGGGGGCUAAGUGUCCUUCGGUUUGGACUGUGCAGCUCGGGUCACCUUCUCUCUGUGGAACAGCAAGUGAAGAAAGAGGCGCAGAGCCCUGUGUUCCAAACCAUGGAGACAAUUGAGAAAGUGGGAACCCAUUAUUCCCCAAGCCCAGCCAGCAAACCUCACCGAUGAAACAGAUAAGCACUUCCUGCAGGUAGGGCUGACACUGGCCAGGACACAGCCCUCUCUCUCACAGCCGUGUUCCAGGUUGUUUGUGCACAAAAUUUCACAAAGGUCAGAGCUCGUCUCUCCAAACAGAUGAGCUUUGCGGUUAACCUGAAUUCACUGAACUAGGAUUUAUUAUUAUUAUUCUAUUUUACCUCUAACAGAAGUUUAAGGUCCGUGUAAGUUUCGUUCCUCUCUCUGAUUGUAGGGGAGACGCCCAGAGCGCCGUUUGGAGGAAAGAACCUGGCGUCCUUUCCUUACCUUCAUUUCAGGUACCCAGCUCCUAGCAAAUGUGUCUUCCUCCCGGGUUCUUUGGGGUAAAGAAUUUGGUGAGAAGGAGCUGAAUGUUACGGCUGCGCUUCUCAGACACCUGCUCGGAGCCAAGCAUCCUCUCACCCUUUCCUUCAACUGGUAGCCAGAAAAUACGGGUUGAGCAUCAGGGAUUCUCAACCGCGUCAAGCUCCAGCCCGGCCUGUUGUGACAGACAUUUCCUGAUGCCUGUUGCUCUCUGGAAUGAAGGUCAUGGGCAGUAUUACCCACACAGCCAUUCAAAAUCAAUCGGCUUCGUGAUCUGUUUUGAAAGGAUGGCGAUUGCCGUGCCAGCACGUGACAUGGACUCGGAUGCCUGCGCACCCAGGUGCACCUUCCAGAAGGUGAGGUCAGCCCAAGCGCCCAUCGCCAUGUGAGUGCGCUGCUGCACAGCGACCAGUUGCUGGAAUGUUCUGAACAGAGCACAGUGCCACCCACUUUGAUGUGCGCUAUUGUUA
Molecule: long non-coding RNA, 1455 nt
Filed under: Pan troglodytes (chimpanzee)
Lineage: Eukaryota; Metazoa; Chordata; Mammalia; Primates; Hominidae
Description: lincRNA
Source: RNAcentral